Molecule: long non-coding RNA, 497 nt
Organism: Poeciliopsis prolifica (blackstripe livebearer)
Lineage: Eukaryota; Metazoa; Chordata; Actinopteri; Cyprinodontiformes; Poeciliidae
Exons: 3
Source: RefSeq, a predicted model, not a curated record
CCACGGUCUGUUCAGCACUCUACUGUGUAUGUGGAGAACUGGUGGACCAGUAGAACAGCUCAAUGUGCUAAUUUGUGUUGACCAUUUAUUACAGGGCUGGAAGUGUCAAAGUUGGCACCAUGUUUGAGACUGUGUGUGAGACAUACCAGUACUGAGUGCAUCCCCAUGUAGAUCCGGCUGGAGCAGACCAAUAGACACCAACAGAGAGCCAAGCUGAAACCGAGGGUGUAAGGGUACUGCAGAGAUGAGAGGAGGCACACUUCAAAUGGGAACAUCCUUAUCCAAUAAUGGCGUUUCCUGUUACCCAAAUCACCCUGAUAAAAAGUUUAUAUAACCAGAUGUUUUGGCCAUGAGACGCACACAAGUAGAUGCAUAUGGGUUUGAAUAUCCUUAAACCCAUCCUCAUCCAUGAUCUAUUUCUUGUAAUUAGUAUGUCUCAAAGUUCUUUGCAGGAAUGCACUGAUGUUAUUGCAUUCAAAACCACAACAAAGACAAAA